Molecule: long non-coding RNA, 6051 nt
Filed under: Populus trichocarpa (black cottonwood)
Lineage: Eukaryota; Viridiplantae; Streptophyta; Magnoliopsida; Malpighiales; Salicaceae
Description: long non-coding RNA (PTRI_LNC004016)
Source: RNAcentral
UGGACACCGUUACAAUAAUCCAUCCUCCGCAAUCCUUGGGGUGAGUUCCAAUACAUCCAUGAACGAUCAUCCAUGACUUCUAUUGAACCUCUAUAAAACAUAACAAAAAUAUUGGUUUUCCCCGACAUUAUCCAACAAACUAAAACAACACUUAUGUUAAAUAUUCAUUAUCAAUUAUCAACUAUCAACGUUCAUACAUACAAAUUUAUACAUAUAUAAAUUUACAGAAUUACUCACAACUUCGAAAUAUAAUUGAUAACAAUUAAACAAGACACUUAAAUAAGCUAUUAAUUAUUUAUUUCAUCACAACGACACAUUUAAUUCGGUGUAAUUCAAACAAAAUUUCAACAAUUUACAAACAAAUAUAAUUUGACAAAAUCUAAAACAACCUAUAACAACUACAAAAUUAUAUAUUCAUACUACAAGUUUCUUUGACAAAUAACAAUUAAACAAGUACAAACGUUAACAAAAUACAUAUACUAAAACAAUAAAAUUCACAAUUAAAUAUUAAAACUAAUUAAAAAGGAUAGAUUUACUUACAAAAAAAUGAUAAAAUCUACAAGAAACGGAUAUUGUGACCACGUACAAGAUAUAAGAAACUUCAGUGCUCGUGUUGAGAAUAGUGGAGAGUUUGGGAUUGGUGUUUGGUUGUAGUUUGGGAGGAGUUUGGGAGGGGAGAGGUGGGAUGGGAAAGAAGAAGAAGGAGAAACAGAGGAUGAGAGUGUCGGCAGAUGGGUGCAUAUAAUGGCUUUUUCCGACGGCAUCACCGACGGAAUCAUUCCGUCGGUGAUGCCGUCGGUGACAUCGCCACGUCACUGUACGGCUAUCACAGUUUGAAUCCCUCGGUACUUUCCGUCGGUAAAAUCGCCUGACAUCACCAUGCCGUUGCGUAUUUCCAGACGAAAUGUAUAUUCCGUCGGUGAAAUCGACGGUAUAUACCGACGGAAUAUUUCCGUCGGUAUAUACCGACGGAAUGAUUUCGUCGGUAUAUACCGACCGAUUUUGAGACGGAAUUAUGUCCGUCGGUAUUAAUUACCGACGGAAUAUUUCCGUCGGUAAUUCCGUUGCUUUUCUCCGGUUUUCUGGUAGUGAGUCCGAUUGUAGAAAUCCUCACACUCCUGAUCAAAAUUCCUCCGUUUUCUUUCCCUCUCCCCGCCCCUCUUUCUCCUUGUUCCUUGGUAUGCCAAAUCAAAAAUGGAAAGGUAAACAAAUUGAACAUUCCUUUUCAUUUUAUUUAAUUAUUCAUUGACUUUGGGCAUAAAACGAUAGUGUUUUUUAAGUUAGCAGUGAAUGAAUAGUAAAACCUCACUUUUUUAAAUCUUAAUUCUUAAAGUUAAUAACAGUAAUUGCAUUAGCAUUAGCUAAAAAGUGUUAAUAUUACUUUUAUAUGCAAAUAUCUAUCUAUUUUAUAUUAUAAAAUGGCAUCAUGCUCUACCACAGUCUUUAGAUUUACCAACGAAAUUUUCCGUCGGUAUUUGUACUAUCAUUCCAUUGGUAAUUAAUUUACUAAUGAAAUCACCGACGGAAAUGCUUCGUCGGUAAUUUUUUGUCCGUCGGUAAGUCCGUUGGUAAUAAAAAUAUAUUAUUAUCGAUGGAUUUACUUACGGAAAAGGCGUGGAAAAAAAAUUUUCGCUUCAUUUCAUCGGUAAUUAUUUAAAAAUAUUUUAAAGAAAUCCAUUUUAAAAACUAUAAAAUAAUUAAAUUAAUAUAAAUCAACACUCUAUAAUACUCAAAACGCUUGGAAAAAAAAAUCUUAUGAAAAAAAAUCCUACAACAAUAUUCAUACUUAUUAAGAACAAAAACAAUUAAAAAUAAAAUAAAAUAAAAACAAAUAUAAUGAAAAAAAACAAGAAAAAAGAAAAAUCUUACCUUAAUAUGGUUGCAAGUGAAGCUAAGAAGAGAAAAAAAAAGAAAAGAGAAGAAUCAAUACCUGAGCAUUGUGGAGAAGAGGAGUCGAGGAGAGGAGAGGAGAGAAGAAAAAGAAAUGGAUAUUAAUGUUUUUUACAUACGGAGAAGAAGAAGAAGAAGAAAUUAAGGAUCCCCGUCUGUUGUGAAAUUAGGGAUCCUAGGCUUUUUAUUGGGGCGUUUUACCGACUGAUAAUUAAAUAUUAAUAUUUUUAAUCAUUUCGUCGGUGAUUCCGUCUGUAAUAUUUAAUUUAAUCAAAAAUUUUCAGAAACCACCAAAUAUCACUGACGACUUUUCAAUUCGUCGGUGAUUCCGUCUGUAAUAUUUAAUUUAAUCAAAAAUUUUCAGAAAACCGCCAAAUAACACCGACGACUUUUCAAUCCAUCGGUAAUUUUAUCUGUAAAGAACAGUAAUUAACAGUGCAAUUGAGAAGUGAACAGUUCCAGAGCUCUCUGGAAAAUACCGACGGUAAUUUUGUUGGUAAAAAUGGCAUGUCAUCAUUUUUUUUGCUUUGUUUUAAUUUUUUUUCCCACUGUUAUUCUCUUGGUAAAUACCGAGGGAAUAUUUCUGUCGGUAAAAUCCGUCGGCAAUUUACCAAUGAAAAUAUUCACUUGGUAUUUUUAUUUGUAUUUAUCGAUUUUCUGGUAGUGGCGAUUUUAUAUAUCAUCUCAAAUUAAUAUUCUACUCAUAGUUUUUUAAUGCCAUUUAAAUGCUGUACUUUUCACUCAGCCAAUUAAUGUAGAUUUUUUACAAAAUAAAAAUAGAUCUUUGAUGUUCACUAAAUAAAUAAAUAAAAGUUAUGAAAGAGAGAAAUUAAAGAUAAUUUUUCUUAAAAAAACUGAAUGAGAAUUUUGUAUAAUAUAUUUAUUGUAAAUUAAUUUUAUUUUGAUCAAAUGAAAAUCGUAUUAUAAAGAUUUAUUUAAUAUGUGUAUUCCAUAUUUUUUGUAAUUUAAAAUAAAAAAUAUCUCUAAUAUUGGAUUAAUCCAUUUCAAGAUAUUUUGUAAUUAUUGACUUUAAAAUAUUAUAUAGAUUUUUCGUCAAUAAUUCACUUAAUAACUCUUUCAGAGUUAAGUAAAUACAGCACUCCACUUUCUAAAUUAUUUAUAAAAAUUUAUAUAAAAGUGAAUCGAUGAUCUAUAUGCUAUUAUUAUACUAAAAUACAGAUUGAAUCAUUUCACUUAAUAUCUAGCAGUUGCUAGGGCCCCAACUGCUUUUUUAAAAUAAUAAAAUGAGAGCUACAAGACCUACCUAAUGAUCAUAUCCACGUGGAAGAAUCUUGAUGGGAGUUCAAAAACUUUAGGCUAAUUGAUUGUGAGAUCACAUCUUUCUAUUUUUAUUUUCAUUUUCAUUUUCAGUGACCCGAGUAAAGUGCGAAUCUGAUACGUGGAGCAAACGGUGGCAUAUCUCAUCAUGCGACAAGGCUCACGUCUCCAUGUGCUUUUUCUUCGUUGGUCGGUGUUUGGAUUAUUAUAGCUAUUGUUUAAAAAGUUUUUUUAUUUAAAAUAUAUAUUAAAAUAUUAUUUUUUAUUUUUAAAAAUUAAUAAAAAAAUUCAAAAUAGUAUAACGAUUAAAAAAACAUUUUUUGAAUGUAAAAACAAACAUACUUUUGCUCAGUUAUUAAUAACAUUUAAACGCUAUAAAUAGUAUAAAGAAGCGAAUUACGUAGUGUAAACUCACCUCUUUAACUGUUGAUAUGAAUAGUGAAGGAAAUGGGUUUUUUCCCCUUAAUUUCCGGCUUCUUCUUAUUUUCAGUAAAAUAAUGAGAGUCAAAUUAAAAAACAUAACAUAUAAUAAAUUAAAUUUAAACGAUAAAAUUAAAAAUAUAUAAAAUUUCUAUAAAAAAAUAUAGAACAAAAAUUAGAAAUUAAAAUAAUAAAAAUUGAAGUUGAAAUACAAGCAACAAAGAGGGCAAUGUGUUAUUUUUAGGGGAAGAGAAAAAAAAAGUACAUCGACGACAAACCAAACAAUCACCGCCGACACAUGUUGUUACUCCAAAAAGAAGACAUGGUGGCGCUUCAAUUCUAACGACACUAUUGAAGGGUGUUUUUAAACAUCAGGAGGUGUUGCAUAUGUCGUUUCAAGGGUGCGAGCGACUCCCACACUUCGAAACAUGCACUAUAUGCGACCUAACCUUUUUGUUUUUUUUUUAUAUAUAUUUAGUUAAAUACUUAAUUUCUCCUAAGCUAAUCUAAAAAUAAUAAAAAAAUCAUUGCGAAAAGAUGAAAACACGCUUUGACACUAGUUUUAAAUUUGCUGCUUUUAAUGGUAUUUUUUUUAUUUUACUGUAUAUUUAAAAUGAAAAAAAAAUUAUUUAUUUCUGAUUGAUUCGGUAAUGAUUAAUAAACCUUAUAAAAAGACUAAAAUACCCUUAAAAGUCAAUGUUGAGUUAUUUGGCAAAAAAAAGUAAAAUCGUCGUUACAUUAUUUAAGUGAACUGCAUGCGCAAAUAAUUUUGGGUAAAGCAUGCUUUUUAAAGGGGGUUUAACUUUUGUUAAUGAGGCAAUUUCUUCUUCCUUACCUUGUCUUUCUAAUGCAGAGAGUGGUGUGUGAAUGUCAAUAUAUAUACAAUUUCAGUACUAGCUAGAGAGAUGACUAUGAUAAUUAAGGUUGGGAAAACUUUUUCAUCCUAGACCUCUCUUGACUCGUAAACCUAGCUCUUCUCAUAGGUCCAUUGCACCUUCCAUUCAAUAGAAAAACAAAAUCCUUAUUCUAACCAAAACAAAAAAGAAGAGUUAAUUACAACUUAAUGUCUAUAAUUUAAUGAAAUUAAUUGAUUAGUACUUUUUAUAGUUUUAAAAACUAUUAUUUUUUAAAUUGAAUAAUUUUAUGGGAAAUUAGGUAUUUUUUAAAACAAAAAAAAAACAAAAUUAAGGAUAGUGAGAAUUAGUUAAAAGACUAUUUAGUUAUUUUUAUAAUACAGAGAUUAAUUAAUUAAUUCUAAUAAAUUAUAAGGACUAAGUUGCGAUAAACUCAAAAGAAAUAAAAUCCCAAAUAAAACAGAACAAACCGUAUGUUGGGAACCGAACCGAUAUCGAUAUCGCUUUUGGCUUUCACGCAGGAAAUGGGAACUUUCUUUGGCUGGAUACAAUAUGGACAAACAAGGUAGAAUCAUAGAGCUCCACUUGAUUGGAUUUCCGAUUCUAACCUCACAAGCAAUGUGAGGAGGAUAACAAUCUCUCCUUAUAUAUUGUCAGCGCAAGCUCUGCCAGUUUGGUCAUAGUUAGUUCGAGCUUCUUGAUUCUUUUCUUGUCUCUCUCAGAGCACGAGUUCUUACGCUGUGGAUAUGGCCUCGCAUGGUAAACUAAGCAUUUCUACAUCCCCGGAAAGCGGCAACGGAGAAAGAAGCAGUGCUGUGGCAUCAAGCUCGCCAAAAGGCCAAUGCCUGUGCUCGCCAACAACACAUCAAGGGUCAUUCAGGUGCAGGCUUCAUCGGGCGCCAAGGUCAUCUGCUGCUCCGAUGAUGAAAAGAUCAAAGUCUAUGCCACCAAAAGACGCUCCAACUUCCCUUUCUCCCAAGUCAGUUGAGUCUACUUGAUUAAUAUUUAUAGCUUAGUAACAAGUGGUUCCUUUGUGAAUCAACCUCCCACGAGAUCCUAUCUAUCUAUACCUCACCGACUGUGUAGAAAAAAACCUAAGCAGAAGAAGUAUACUGGGGAUGUAGAUGAUUUGUUGUGGUUGCUUCGAUCUAAUUAACGUUUCCAUUUUAAUUAUAUGCAGAAAACUACUGCAGCUUAUUCUGUCUUGUUGUUGAUAAUUUAAUCAUCCCCAGCAAAAAAUUAAAGAGAAAAAAUGGAACUGGGGUCAUGGCUGUUGGAUUGUCGCGCUGCCAAACGGAACAGUAGAACUUUGUCUGUCUUUGUGCUAUGAUUGGUAUGCAAUUAUGCAUAUUAAAUGUAUAUAUACGCACGUUCCUUGCCUCUUAGCUUGCUCUGUUUGGAAGCAACAGGUGGUUCUGGAUGGAUGGAUCUUCUUCUCCUUUUUUUUUCCUUCAACUUCUAUGAAUAUUUUUGCGGAAAUUGUCUUCCUAAUUCAAUAAAAGAUAAAUUAAUCAUAAAAAAAUUAUGAAACUUGUAAAAAAUUUACUUCUCACGGUAUGAUGUGCGUUUUACUUUCUUCUUUUAUAAGUGUAAUCUACUUUUACAUUUA